This 497-nucleotide ribosomal RNA is filed under the name uncultured bacterium. Its description in RNAcentral is "partial 16S ribosomal RNA". It matches the Rfam family "Bacterial small subunit ribosomal RNA", at positions 28 to 507 of the family's 1533-position model. The record is from RNAcentral.
GACGAACGCUGGCGGCGUGCCUAAUACAUGCAAGUUGAGCGCUGAAGGUUGGUACUUGUACCGACUGGAUGAGCAGCGAACGGGUGAGUAACGCGUGGGGAAUCUGCCUUUGAGCGGGGGACAACAUUUGGAAACGAAUGCUAAUACCGCAUAAAAACUUUAAACACAAGUUUUAAGUUUGAAAGAUGCAAUUGCAUCACUCAAGGAUGAUCCCGCGUUGUAUUAGCUAGUUGGUGAGGUAAAGGCUCACCAAGGCGAUGAUACAUAGCCGACCUGAGAGGGUGAUCGGCCACAUUGGGACUGAGACACGGCCCAAACUCCUACGGGAGGCAGCAGUAGGGAAUCUUCGGCAAUAGACGAAAGUCUGACCGAGCAACGCCGCGUGAGUGAAGAAGGUUUUCGGAUCGUAAAACUCUGUUGGUAGAGAAGAACGUUGGUGAGAGUGGAAAGCUCAUCAAGUGACGGUAACUACCCAGAAAGGGACGGCUAACUACGUG